AGGUACAGUAUCUACCAUGUUAUAAUUAGGUGUACAGUAUCUACCAUGUUCAAUAUAGAUGUACAGUAUCUACCAUGUUAUAAUUAGAUGUACAGUAUCUACCAUGUUAUAAUUAGAGGUACAGUAUCUACCAUGUUGUAAUUAGAUGUACAGUAUCUACCAUGUUCUAUAUAGAGAUACAGUAUCUACCAUGUUAUAAUUAGAUGUACAGUAUCUACCAUGUUAUAAUUAGAUGUACAGUAUCUACCAUGUUCUAUAUAGAUGUACAGUAUCUACCAUGUUAUAAUUAGAUGUACAGUAUCUACCAUGUUAUAAUUAGAGGUACAGUAUCUACCAUGUUAUAAUUAGAUGUACAGUAUCUACCAUGUUCUAUAUAGAUGUACAGUAUCUACCAUGUUAUAAUUAGAUGUACAGUAUCUACCAUGUUCUAUAUAGAUGUACAGUAUCUACCAUGUUAUAAUUAGAGGUACAGUAU
This is a long non-coding RNA of Oncorhynchus keta (chum salmon), 475 nucleotides long. RefSeq lists it as uncharacterized. Lineage: Eukaryota; Metazoa; Chordata; Actinopteri; Salmoniformes; Salmonidae. The record is from RefSeq and is a predicted model, not a curated record. The transcript has 3 exons.